This 375-nucleotide ribosomal RNA is filed under the name uncultured soil bacterium. Its description in RNAcentral is "bacterial SSU rRNA". It matches the Rfam family "Bacterial small subunit ribosomal RNA", at positions 26 to 430 of the family's 1533-position model. The record is from RNAcentral.
AGAACGAACGCUGGCGGCAUGCCUAAUACAUGCAAGUCGAACGAACUCUUCGGAGUUAGUGGCGCACGGGUGCGUAACGCGUGGGAAUCUGCCCCUUGGUUCGGAAUAACAGUUGGAAACGAUUGCUAAUACCGGAUGAUGACGAAAGUCCAAAGAUUUAUCGCCAAGGGAUGAGCCCGCGUAGGAUUAGCUAGUUGGUGAGGUAAAGGCUCACCAAGGCAACGAUCCUUAGCUGGUCUGAGAGGAUGAUCAGCCACACUGGGACUGAGACACGGCCCAGACUCCUACGGGAGCAGCAGUAGGGAAUAUUGGACAAUGGGCGAAAGCCUGAUCCAGCAAUGCCGCGUGAGUGAUGAAGGCCUUAGGGUUGUAAAG